UGGUCCUCAUUUAGGUUUUAGUUGCUAGAUU
RNAcentral lists this non-coding RNA (31 nucleotides) under Mus musculus (house mouse). Lineage: Eukaryota; Metazoa; Chordata; Mammalia; Rodentia; Muridae. The record is from RNAcentral.